This 425-nucleotide ribosomal RNA is filed under the name uncultured bacterium. RNAcentral describes it as "bacterial SSU rRNA". It matches the Rfam family "Bacterial small subunit ribosomal RNA", at positions 356 to 773 of the family's 1533-position model. The record is from RNAcentral.
GGGGAAUUUUGGACAAUGGGCGAAAGCCUGAUCCAGCAAUGCCGCGUGCAGGAUGAAGGCCUUCGGGUUGUAAACUGCUUUUGUACGGAACGAAACGGUUCUUUCUAAUAAAGAGGGCUAAUGACGGUACCGUAAGAAUAAGCACCGGCUAACUACGUGCCAGCAGCCGCGGUAAUACGUAGGGUGCAAGCGUUAAUCGGAAUUACUGGGCGUAAAGCGUGCGCAGGCGGUUAUGUAAGACAGUUGUGAAAUCCCCGGGCUCAACCUGGGAAUUGCAUCUGUGACUGCAUAGCUAGAGUACGGUAGAGGGGGAUGGAAUUCCGCGUGUAGCAGUGAAAUGCGUAGAUAUGCGGAGGAACACCGAUGGCGAAGGCAAUCCCCUGGACCUGUACUGACGCUCAUGCACGAAAGCGUGGGGAGCAAAC